Molecule: unclassified non-coding RNA, 511 nt
Filed under: Hevea brasiliensis (rubber tree)
Lineage: Eukaryota; Viridiplantae; Streptophyta; Magnoliopsida; Malpighiales; Euphorbiaceae
Source: RNAcentral
UUUACCACCUGAUAUACGUGCUGCAUAAAGUGAAUGUAUUAAUACCCAAUAAAAAUCAUGUAGUGAUGUCAAUCAGUCUUCAUAUAUAGAUUCUGCUGUUACCAAACUAUUGAUGGUGAAAAGUAGAAUGGAGGAUCAAAAGAACAAGCAUUUUUCUUAUAUGAUUUACAAAUAGAAAUGCACUUAUUCAGGAAAAAAUUGAACCAUAGUUAGUAUCCACUAAUAACCACACACAUAAGAAAAAUGGCAAAGUAUCUGUAGUAUGUUUCAUUAGUAUAAAAUUCAAAUUCCACCAACUUCAACUACAAACCAGCAAAGGUGGGAAAAGCAUCAUAGUCGUGAUACAACAACAUGCCUAUUCUUAAACCAGCGUUCUUUCAAUAAUAUGAGAUCAGCAUAUCCUAUUUUACAUAGCUUCGGCCUUCAGGAACACAGCAUGGGACUCGUGAAGUAUUUAAAAUAGAACUUCAUUCAUUACUUCCUUUUAUUGGCAAGGUCUGUUUGACAUGUG